Molecule: ribosomal RNA, 355 nt
Filed under: uncultured bacterium
Lineage: Bacteria
Description: bacterial SSU rRNA
Rfam family: Bacterial small subunit ribosomal RNA
Source: RNAcentral
AUAGUAGUGUCAGAGUUUGAUCCUGGCUCAGGAUGAACGCUGGCGGCGUGCUUAACACAUGCAAGUCGAACGAGAGCUACAGGAGGAAGUUUUCGGACGGAAUCCGGUAGAUCGAGUGGCGGACGGGUGAGUAACGCGUGGGGAACCGUGCCUCAUACAGGGGAGUAACAGUUGGAAACGACUGUUAAUACCGCAUAAGACCACAGAGUCGCAUGACUCAGGGGUAAAAACUCCGGUGGUAUGAGAUGGACCCGCGUUCGAUUAGCCAGUUGGCGGGGUAACGGCCCACCAAAGCGACGAUCGAUAGCCGAUUUGAGAGAAUGACCGGCCACACUGGAACUGAGACACGGUCCAG